Podarcis lilfordi (Lilford's wall lizard) is the source of this 124-nucleotide non-coding RNA. Lineage: Eukaryota; Metazoa; Chordata; Lepidosauria; Squamata; Lacertidae. The record is from the annotation of a GenBank genome assembly.
UGUCCAGUAGCACCUUAAAGACCAACUAAGUUUGUUCUUGGUAUAAGGUUUUGUGAAAGUGUGCAUGCGCACGAAAGCUUAUACCAAGAACAAACUUAGUUGGUCUCUAAGGUGCUACUGGACA